UACGUAGGUCCCGAGUGUUGUCCGGAUUUAUUGGGCGUAAAGCGAGCGCAGGUGGUUUAUUAAGUCUGGUGUAAAAGGCAGUGGCUCAACCAUUGUAUGCAUUGGAAACUGGUAGACUUGAGUGCAGGAGAGGAGAGUGGAAUUCCAUGUGUAGCGGUGAAAUGCGUAGAUAUAUGUAGGAACACCGGUGGCGAAAGCGGCUCUCUGGCCUGUAACUGACACUGAGGCUCGAAAGCGUGGGGAGCAAACAGG
This 252-nucleotide ribosomal RNA is filed under the name uncultured bacterium. RNAcentral's name for it is "partial 16S ribosomal RNA". It matches the Rfam family "Bacterial small subunit ribosomal RNA", at positions 524 to 776 of the family's 1533-position model. The record is from RNAcentral.